Molecule: small RNA, 604 nt
Filed under: Pan troglodytes (chimpanzee)
Lineage: Eukaryota; Metazoa; Chordata; Mammalia; Primates; Hominidae
Description: processed transcript
Source: RNAcentral
GAGAUGCCUGCAGAUCACGGAUCUGUACUUAAAUGCUUUCAGCCUUACGCCUUGGCUCUUGGAGAAAACCACACUGCCAAAGUUCAGGUAACAGAGUUCAAUGGAAUUUGAUGAAAGUCACCUAAGGGCCUCAUUUUCCUUUCUCUUUCUUUGAACAGACAAAAUGCUAAGAAGUUUGGAAUCAGGUUCCAAUUUCGCCCCUUUGAAAGUGGGUGGAAUUUACUUGCCUCUCCAUUGGCCUGCCCAGGAAUGCUACAGAUACCCCAUUGUUCUCGGCUAUGACAGCCAUCAUUUUGUACCCUUGGUGACCCUGAAGGACAGUGGGCCUGAAAUCCGAGCUGUUCCACUUGUUAACAGAGACCGAGGAAGAUUUGAAGACUUAAAAGUUCACUUUUUGACAGAUCCUGAAAAUGAGAUGAAGGAGAAGCUCUUAAAAGAGUACUUAAUGGUGAUAGAAAUCCCCGUCCAAGGCUGGGACCAUGGCACAACUCAUCUCAUCAAUGCCGCAAAGUUGGAUGAAGCUAACUUACCAAAAGAAAUCAACCUGGUAGAUGAUUACUUUGAACUUGUUCAGCAUGAGUACAAGAAAUGGCAGGAAAACAGC